UCUAAAAAGGCUGACCAGAUUCAUCCCUGUUUUUCUCUCCUGCCUUCUAGACCACACUCUCCACUCCAUAUUGGUUGCAAGGCAAUCGGUCUUGCUCAUACCUACAUCUCUGAUACCUCACAGAGGAUCUGAGACAUAGUGGGUGUUCACUGUAGCUGCAUGAACUAAAUAAAAGGGAAGGAAAGAAUAAAUCAGAGUAUUGCUACCAUAAAUAGCCACUUUGGCUCUGGGAAGAUUUCACAUGUCACCUCUUCUGCAGGGAUGAGUGUCCAUUUCAUUUUCCAGAUGAAGAAAUAUUCAGAGGAUAAACCAGUCUACCAUCCUACCUUUUGCACAGGCAUCGAUUUCUGAACUCAAGGAACUGGAAAAAAUAUACAGGAAAUCACUGCCCUGCCCCCAUGGACCUUACAAACUAGUGAGGACAUAGCCCUAUGCAACUGGCUCGCCAUUCCCGCAAGCUCUUCUUUUGCUAAUAAAAAAGAAACAAAUAUCAGAAAA
This is a long non-coding RNA of Canis lupus familiaris (dog), 498 nucleotides long. RefSeq lists it as uncharacterized. NCBI's taxonomy places the organism in Eukaryota, Metazoa, Chordata, Mammalia, Carnivora, Canidae. The transcript is spliced from 2 exons. The record is from RefSeq and is a predicted model, not a curated record.